Macrosteles quadrilineatus (aster leafhopper) is the source of this 701-nucleotide long non-coding RNA. RefSeq lists it as uncharacterized. The transcript is spliced from 3 exons. NCBI's taxonomy places the organism in Eukaryota, Metazoa, Arthropoda, Insecta, Hemiptera, Cicadellidae. The record is from RefSeq and is a predicted model, not a curated record.
UGAAAGAGCAAUGAAAAAUGUAGUACGGCUCCAAAAAGGGGAAGAAAACUGUGACCGAGUCCGAAGGGGAACUCAAAGGGAAGGGCCAUUCCCGUAAUCGCAAGUGGUCCUCUUCAGAUGAAGAGUCAGAGAACGAAGAUAGGCGCCAUGCUACGAAGGUAUCCAAGGCUAUAGGCCUACCACCUCCGCCACUACAAAAUCUACUCUGAUGGGUGCUCACUUAGUUGCCAGCACAUCAUGGGCAUCAGUGCUACUACCAGCUAUGGCUACAGAUAUUACCGCUGUUUGUGGUUGAAAAAAAACAGCCCAUACAGGUUUUUGACGACAACCUUGAUAAGUGUGUUAGAGACGAAAUCCUUACUAAUUUCACAUGGAAAGGGCAAAAAAGAGGAGGCGUUAAAAAUCUUCAUUUGCAGAUUUGGCAUUUUGCAAUGUUUUAAUAAGUGCAGAAUGAAAUGUUUUGAACGUAUAACUGAAGAGGACCAAUUAGAUAUUCUAAAUAGGGAGGAAGCUUUCAAAACAAAGAUGAACAAGAUUUGUUUUAUCAGUCAUUAAUAGAAGCCCAGCCUGUUAAAACUAGAAGAUCAAGAAUUACUACACAAACUGAAGAAGGACUUAAACCUAAGCAUUCUGUUGCACAUGAAAGUUCUUUUACCUUUCAUGUACUGGUUGGUGAAAAAAGUUAAAGUUUGCAAAAAGGC